GCCCGUGUAGCUCAGUUGGUAGAGCAGCUGUCUUGUAAACAGCAGGUCGCAGGUUCGACUCCUGUCGCGGGCUC
Molecule: transfer RNA, 74 nt
Filed under: Acidimicrobiales bacterium
Lineage: Bacteria; Bacillati; Actinomycetota; Acidimicrobiia; Acidimicrobiales
Description: tRNA-Thr
Rfam family: tRNA
About the family: Transfer RNA (tRNA) molecules are approximately 80 nucleotides in length.
Source: RNAcentral